CUGACAGCCACCGUGCGUUUCUUUAGAGCUUGAUCCCACAGUGCCCAGGGAGCAGCUCGAAGACAAAGGAGUUCAGUCUUGUGUUUAUUCCACUGUCCUUCUUGCCAUUAGUUGAGUAUCUUUUUAAGAAUGUGAUUUUGAUGAAGCCUGGUUUAAUGGCAACUUUGAUUUCAAGGUCUUCUGGAAGUGUUUUCAGGAGCUCAGAGACUUCGUUUUCUGAAGGGUGAGAGGAGAGAGGCGGAAAACAAAGGGUUCCUUCCGCCCGCCUGUGGAAUCUGCGCGUGGUAGCUGAGUGAAUCGCUGAGGUUGGAGCAGGAUGUCUGGAAGCAGUUAGUCCUCAGUUAGAGGCAAACGACAUUUAGACCAAACUGUGGGCAAAGGAAAUAUAUACCCUUCAUGUUUUGAAGAAUAACCAUCUUUCAAAUUGCCAACUCAGUAGUUAUUUCUUCACAUAACCAAAACUCAAGAAUUCCAUUUCUCUCAAGAAAAGCAGGACGUAUUUACUGUUUUUCUUUUGUACUUAAAACAUUGUCUUUAAUUGUAGGCACAGUUUUCUAUGCCAGCAUAUUUUUUAGUUUAAAAAUAAAUUGCUGAAACAGUCAUUGUGGCGGUCAGA
This is a long non-coding RNA of Chinchilla lanigera (long-tailed chinchilla), 616 nucleotides long. RefSeq lists it as uncharacterized. The record is from RefSeq and is a predicted model, not a curated record. The transcript is spliced from 3 exons. Lineage: Eukaryota; Metazoa; Chordata; Mammalia; Rodentia; Chinchillidae.